Molecule: unclassified non-coding RNA, 344 nt
Filed under: soil metagenome
Description: partial contains 5.8S ribosomal RNA, internal transcribed spacer 2, and large subunit ribosomal RNA
Rfam family: 5.8S ribosomal RNA (bases 1-120)
Source: RNAcentral
GAUGAAGAACGUAGCGAAAUGCGAUACGUAAUGUGAAUUGCAGAAUUCAGUGAAUCAUCGAGCCUUUGAACGCACAUUGCGCCCCCUGGUAUUCCGGGGGGCAUGCCUGUCCGAGCGUCAUUGCUGCCCUCAAGCACGGCUUGUGUGUUGGGCCUCCGUCCUCCUCCCGGGGGACGGGCCCGAAAGGCAGCGGCGGCACCGCGUCCGGUCCUCGAGCGUAUGGGGCUUCGUCACCCGCUCUUGUAGGCCCGGCCGGCGCUUGCCGACACAUCAAUCUUUUUUCCAGGUUGACCUCGGAUCAGGUAGGGAUACCCGCUGAACUUAAGCAUAUCAAUAAGCGGAGA